GAUGAACGCUGGCGGCGUGCCUAAUACAUGCAAGUCGAGCGAACGGACGAGAAGCUUGCUUCUCUGAUGUUAGCGGCGGACGGGUGAGUAACACGUGGAUAACCUACCUAUAAGACUGGGAUAACUUCGGGAAACCGGAGCUAAUACCGGAUAAUAUUUUGAACCGCAUGGUUCAAAAGUGAAAGACGGUCUUGCUGUCACUUAUAGAUGGAUCCGCGCUGCAUUAGCUAGUUGGUAAGGUAACGGCUUACCAAGGCAACGAUGCAUAGCCGACCUGAGAGGGUGAUCGGCCACACUGGAACUGAGACACGAUCCAGACUCCUACGGGAGGCAGCAGUAGGGAAUCUUCCGCAAUGGGCGAAAGCCUGACGGAGCAACGCCGCGUGAGUGAUGAAGGUCUUCGGAUCGUAAAACUCUGUUAUUAGGGAAGAACAUAUGUGUAAGUAACUGUGCACAUCUUAACGGUACCUAAUCAGAAAGCCACGGCUAACUACGUGCCAGCAGCCGCGGUAAUACGUAGGUGGCAAGCGUUAUCCGGAAUUAUUGGGCGUAAAGCGCGCGUAGGCGGUUUUUUAAGUCUGAUGUGAAAGCCCACGGCUCAACCGUGGAGGGUCAUUGGAAACUGGAAAACUUGAGUGCAGAAGAGGAAAGUGGAAUUCCAUGUGUAGCGGUGAAAUGCGCAGAGAUAUGGAGGAACACCAGUGGCGAAGGCGACUUUCUGGUCUGUAACUGACGCUGAUGUGCGAAAGCGUGGGGAUCAAACAGGAUUAGAUACCCUGGUAGUCCACGCCGUAAACGAUGAGUGCUAAGUGUUAGGGGGUUUCCGCCCCUUAGUGCUGCAGCUAACGCAUUAAGCACUCCGCCUGGGGAGUACGACCGCAAGGUUGAAACUCAAAGGAAUUGACGGGGACCCGCACAAGCGGUGGAGCAUGUGGUUUAAUUCGAAGCAACGCGAAGAACCUUACCAAAUCUUGACAUCCUUUGACAACUCUAGAGAUAGAGCCUUCCCCUUCGGGGGACAAAGUGACAGGUGGUGCAUGGUUGUCGUCAGCUCGUGUCGUGAGAUGUUGGGUUAAGUCCCGCAACGAGCGCAACCCUUAAGCUUAGUUGCCAUCAUUAAGUUGGGCACUCUAAGUUGACUGCCGGUGACAAACCGGAGGAAGGUGGGGAUGACGUCAAAUCAUCAUGCCCCUUAUGAUUUGGGCUACACACGUGCUACAAUGGACAAUACAAAGGGCAGCGAAACCGCGAGGUCAAGCAAAUCCCAUAAAGUUGUUCUCAGUUCGGAUUGUAGUCUGCAACUCGACUACAUGAAGCUGGAAUCGCUAGUAAUCGUAGAUCAGCAUGCUACGGUGAAUACGUUCCCGGGUCU
RNAcentral lists this ribosomal RNA (1372 nucleotides) under uncultured bacterium. Its description in RNAcentral is "bacterial SSU rRNA". It matches the Rfam family "Bacterial small subunit ribosomal RNA", at positions 28 to 1381 of the family's 1533-position model. The record is from RNAcentral.